This 779-nucleotide ribosomal RNA is filed under the name uncultured bacterium. RNAcentral's name for it is "bacterial SSU rRNA". It matches the Rfam family "Bacterial small subunit ribosomal RNA", at positions 9 to 777 of the family's 1533-position model. The record is from RNAcentral.
GAGUUUGAUCCUGGCUCAGGAUGAACGCUAGCGGGAGGCUUAACACAUGCAAGUCGAGGGGUAACAGGAAGAAACUUCGGUUUUUUCGCUGACGACCGGCGGACGGGUGAGUAACGCGUAUGCAACCUGCCUUUUACAGAGGAAUAGCUUUCGGAAACGGAAAUUAAUACCUCAUAACACUACAAGACGGCAUCGUUUUGUAGUUAAAACUACGGUGGUAAAAGAUGGGCAUGCGUAACAUUAGCUAGUUGGUAAGGUAACGGCUUACCAAGGCGACGAUGUUUAGGGGACCUGAGAGGGUGAUCCCCCACACUGGUACUGAGACACGGACCAGACUCCUACGGGAGGCAGCAGUGAGGAAUAUUGGUCAAUGGACGGAAGUCUGAACCAGCCAUCCCGCGUGCAGGAAGACGGCCCUAUGGGUUGUAAACUGCUUUUCUGAAGGAAGAAUAAUUACGAUGUAUCGUAAGACGACGGUACUUCAGGAAUAAGCAUCGGCUAACUCCGUGCCAGCAGCCGCGGUAAUACGGAGGAUGCAAGCGUUAUCCGGAUUUAUUGGGUUUAAAGGGUGCGUAGGCGGACUAAUAAGUCAGUGGUGAAAUCUCUCGGCUCAACCGGGAAACUGCCAUUGAUACUGUUAAUCUUGAGUUCGGUUGAGGUAGGCGGAAUGUGUAAUGUAGCGGUGAAAUGCUUAGAUAUUACACAGAACACCAAUUGCGUAGGCAGCUUACUAGACCGACACUGACGCUGAGGCACGAAAGCGUGGGUAGCGAACAGGA